Molecule: ribosomal RNA, 226 nt
Filed under: Leptospira wolffii
Lineage: Bacteria; Pseudomonadati; Spirochaetota; Leptospiria; Leptospirales; Leptospiraceae
Description: partial 16S ribosomal RNA
Rfam family: Bacterial small subunit ribosomal RNA
Source: RNAcentral
GGGUAAUCUUCCUCCGAAUCUGGGAUAACUUUCCGAAAGGAAAGCUAACACCGGAUAGUUCUAUUGGAUCACAGGAUUUGAUAGAUAAAGGUUUACUGUUCGGAGAUGAGCCCGCGGCCGAUUAGCUAGUUGGUGAGGUAAUGGCUCACCAAGGCGACGAUCGGUAGCCGGCCUGAGAGGGUGUCCGGCCACAAUGGAACUGAUACACGGUCCAUACUCCUACGGG